This 395-nucleotide ribosomal RNA is filed under the name uncultured bacterium. RNAcentral's name for it is "bacterial SSU rRNA". It matches the Rfam family "Bacterial small subunit ribosomal RNA", at positions 505 to 898 of the family's 1533-position model. The record is from RNAcentral.
GUGUCAGCAGCCGCGGUAAUACGUAGGAAGCGAGCGUUAUCCGGAUUUACUGGGCGUAAAGAGCGCGUAGGUGGUUCUAUAAGUUGGGCGUGAAAGCCCCCGGCUUAACUGGGGAGGGUCGCUCAAUACUGUGGGACUUGAGGGUGGAAGAGGAGAUUGGAAUUCCCGGUGUAGUGGUGAAAUGCGUAGAUAUCGGGAGGAACACCUGUGGUGAAGACGAAUCUCUAGGCCACUUCUGACACUGAGGCGCGAAAGCGUGGGGAGCGAACGGAAUUAGAUACUCCGGUAGUCCACGCCCUAAACGAUGGACACUAGGUGUGGUGGGUAUCGACCCCUGCCGUGCCGUAGUCAACACAAUAAGUGUCCCGCCUGGGGACUACGAGCGCAAGCUUAAA